CAGUAGCCACGGUAAAACGAAGGGGGCUAGCGUUGCUCGGAAUUACUGGGCGUAAAGGGAGCGUAGGCGGACAUUUAAGUCAGGGGUGAAAUCCCAGAGCUCAACUCUGGAACUGCCCUUGAUACUGGGUGUCUUGAGUGUGAUAGUGGUAUGUGGAACUCCGAGUGUAGAGGUGAAAUUCGUAGAUAUUCGGAAGAACACCAGUGGCGAAGGCGGCUCACUGGCUCAUACUGGACGCUGAGGUGCGAAAGCGUGGGGAGCAAACAGGAUUAGAUACCCCUGUAGUCCCUGUCUCUUAUAC
RNAcentral lists this ribosomal RNA (301 nucleotides) under uncultured bacterium. RNAcentral's name for it is "partial 16S ribosomal RNA". It matches the Rfam family "Bacterial small subunit ribosomal RNA", at positions 509 to 807 of the family's 1533-position model. The record is from RNAcentral.